AGUCCGGCCGCCCUGUGACUAACGGCUGGAACCGCCUAAGACACCACCCCAGCCAGCAUGGCCGGCAGGAGCGCACCGCGCUGUCUCCCUCCAGGGAUCCGCACCGCCCUACAAUCCUGCUUUGUGCUGAGAUUGUAGUCCUGCAGGCGUACAACUAACAAGCUGGGUGCAGAUAAGAGACUACAGCUCCCCGCAUCCCAAGCAAAGGUCCCUCCUCUACGGAGCCCCUCCACGCGUCCACUGCGGUUCCGCCGUGCCAAGGGGAGCUUGGCUGUUCACGGGCCUCACCUGCUAGCGAGAAGAUAGCUUGGCCGGGCGGCUGAUCUCACCUUGUAAUUCUGACACUGUGUCUCCCGGGCUUGUCGGCUUCAUGACUUGUGCCCAAAGUUUGAUUUCUCGCAGACCAGGUAAAAGCCAAGAGGCUCUCAUAGGCGCCUUGGCAGAGUUGCCAUUGGAACGGGCGUCCUCUAGUAGCUGGGAUCUCCCCGCCCCUUCCUCCUGAGGGGCCACUCCUUUCUGCCCCACCCUUCUUAUUGCCCCACCCUUUGCCACACUCCUUCAGAGAUGCGCAGUGCUGCCCCUUUCUAUGGGCAGGGCCGAAGGUCCGCGUGUAAAAGUACCCAGUCCCUGGUAACCUGACACUUCCCUUUUAAAAGCCACCUUUUGUCUAUCUCUGGCCUGCCACGAUUCUUCCUGUGCUCCAUAGGAGGACCCAUUGGACCCCCGGGCUGGCUGCAGGGCCCACACCUGGGUUAGACCUCGCACAGGGACGCUGCUGCCACUGUAAUAAAGCGUGCCUACACGCUUCUGAAACUGGUGUAGGAACAACCUCAGUUCUGUGAAAGGCGGACGCAGCAGGACAGAAUCUCCGUGGACAUCUGUCUGGAGGAGCAAUUUUACUGCGACAUUUUAAAGAAACAAAUUUAAUUGAUUUCCAAGGCUUGAGUGUGAUUAAAAAAAAAAAAUUAAAAGGUAAACUUCACCGUGCAGGAAGAAGCAUAGGAAAAGAGAGAGAGAAAAGAACAAAGAAAAAAAAGAAUAGCAAGUCUCUCCAAGUACUAUGGAAACAAACAGAAAGUGGAAUUAGGAAAAAAGAGAGGAAGAAGGUCUGAGUAGUCCAAGGGACACGGGAGGCCAGUUGGGAAGACCGCCCGGGCGAGACCAGGAAGAUCAAGGCCACAGUGAAUCACGAUCCCAUCCCUCUGCUCAACCUGAAUUGUACUGCUGCUGGCGAGAGAGAUCUGGUCGACCUUAGACAUGGCAAGGCGAGAGGUGAGGUCCAUCAGGUCGACCUUAGUCCAACGCUCACAGCCGACAUCUCUCUCAAAAUAAAUAAACAAAUCCAACAGUAAAUAUUUAACAAUGACAAAAAAAUUAAAGAACAAUACAUAAACAGGUUGCAGUUAACAAAAGUAAAAAGUAAUUAAUAUCACAAUUAAGAUCUUCUCCCCUGUCUCUCUGUUUGUCACACCCAGGCUGGAGUGUGUGACAAAAUAAAAAAUCUAAAAGAUCAA
Homo sapiens (human) is the source of this 1514-nucleotide long non-coding RNA. Ensembl annotates it as long intergenic non-protein coding RNA 662. NCBI's taxonomy places the organism in Eukaryota, Metazoa, Chordata, Mammalia, Primates, Hominidae. The record is from Ensembl.